Panicum hallii is the source of this 337-nucleotide long non-coding RNA. RefSeq lists it as uncharacterized. Lineage: Eukaryota; Viridiplantae; Streptophyta; Magnoliopsida; Poales; Poaceae. The transcript has 3 exons. The record is from RefSeq and is a predicted model, not a curated record.
UCCCUCAAACUUGCCUCCCUGCUCAGGUCAUCCUUCCCUUGGAUGUGCCGGUCCUGCCCAUGUAGCAGUUGGCCGUGUGUUGGUUGCCGGUGAGUUCGUCUGCGUCGGCGAUGGAUGGAGCCACGUAUGGAGCAGAGUCGUCGGACUGGGUACCACAGCAGCGAGGACACCGGAAGGAUGCGUUGACAAGAACAGAUCUAAGCCUGGAGGCAAAUAGCGCUGGACCAAUAGUACUGCUAGAAAAUUUAGUUUCCAUUCGGGUGGUGCUGUUGGAACUCUGUUGCUGCCGCAACUGCCAUUCGGGCCUGCUGACACUUAGGUAGUGACUGUUGGUGAU